This 205-nucleotide unclassified non-coding RNA is filed under the name Hevea brasiliensis (rubber tree). The record is from RNAcentral. Lineage: Eukaryota; Viridiplantae; Streptophyta; Magnoliopsida; Malpighiales; Euphorbiaceae.
GAAAUUGAAAUUGAAACUGAAACUUAUCUGUCUGUGUGAUAUUAAAUAAACAUGUCAAUAUAUAUUUGCGCAUGUAUAUUUCAGAGUACUUCAGAGUUAAUUGCAUGAAAUUUCCUUUGUGCAUUUCAAGAGAGAUUAAUCCACCUAUGUUGCUAGUGGCUUUGCAAAUACUUAUAAAUUUAAAGAAGUCAUGUAUUGAUUGCUU